GUCCUACGGGGCGCAGCAGUGGGGAAUAUUGCGCAAUGGGGGAAACCCUGACGCAGCAACGCCGCGUGCAGGAAGAAGGUCUUCGGAUUGUAAACUGUUGUCGCAGGGGAAGAAGACAGUGACGGUACCCUGUGAGAAAGUCACGGCUAACUACGUGCCAGCAGCCGCGGUAAUACGUAGGUGGCGAGCGUUAUCCGGAAUGAUUGGGCGUAAAGGGUGCGUAGGCGGCCUGCUAAGUCUGGAAUGAAAGGUACCGGCUCAACCGGUACAGGCUCUGGAAACUGGCGGGCUAGAGAGCAGGAGAG
This 305-nucleotide ribosomal RNA is filed under the name uncultured bacterium. RNAcentral's name for it is "bacterial SSU rRNA". It matches the Rfam family "Bacterial small subunit ribosomal RNA", at positions 335 to 656 of the family's 1533-position model. The record is from RNAcentral.